UGCAUUGAAUCUGGAUUCAAACAGUCGGAGCAAAGUUUAAUCUCAACAUUAACUCAUUCACUGCUGAAUUAUCUCACUCACAGCAAAGUGUUAACGUUUGAGAUGGGGAGAGGGAGCUGUCUGCCUCGGUCAGAAUUAGCUGCUAAUGAGAGAGUCACCCUGACCGCAGCCAUGAUAGUAUGACCCCUCACCCUGACUGCAGCCAGUGUGACCAUUCAGCCCUCACUGUGAACAUAGCCCUCACCGUUUAUGUGAAUUCCCAACAGCUAUUUCCUGAGCAUCACUCCGGGCUCCUUUAGUGCUUGGAAGGAGCUAUACAAAUGCACGCAGUUGUUCGAAGGGGCCAGGUUCCCCCUGAACCUGAGAUGUCCCGCAGCACCCAGCACCACCCCAGGACCCUCCGCCAGCGGAAUGCAGCGCACUCCCGCAGCCUCGGGCCGAAACUCCAUGUGGAUCUCUGCUUUAUAAGCAAAUCUUCGGUCCUCCUGCCAACUGGAAUAGAUGUCCCUGGGCUGGUUGAUCCGAGUGCCAGCUCAGUUUGCUGUCAGUGCCAGCGAAAGGUCCACUUCACUGUAAGUUGCUGCCAGCUGUUGCCUUUGCCCAAUGGGAGACUGGGAGACUUUUCCAUUUGUGUAUCAAUCAGCCUGGCACUCCUCUGAAAAACC
Molecule: non-coding RNA, 665 nt
Organism: Chiloscyllium plagiosum (whitespotted bambooshark)
Lineage: Eukaryota; Metazoa; Chordata; Chondrichthyes; Orectolobiformes; Hemiscylliidae
Source: RefSeq, a predicted model, not a curated record